This 465-nucleotide ribosomal RNA is filed under the name Vreelandella stevensii. RNAcentral describes it as "partial 16S ribosomal RNA". It matches the Rfam family "Bacterial small subunit ribosomal RNA", at positions 338 to 795 of the family's 1533-position model. Lineage: Bacteria; Pseudomonadati; Pseudomonadota; Gammaproteobacteria; Oceanospirillales; Halomonadaceae. The record is from RNAcentral.
CCUACGGGGGGCUGCAGUGGGGAAUAUUGGACAAUGGGGGGAACCCUGAUCCAGCCAUGCCGCGUGUGUGAAGAAGGCCCUCGGGUUGUAAAGCACUUUCAGUGAGGAAGAACGCCUGGUGGUUAAUACCCAUUAGGAAAGACAUCACUCACAGAAGAAGCACCGGCUAACUCCGUGCCAGCAGCCGCGGUAAUACGGAGGGUGCGAGCGUUAAUCGGAAUUACUGGGCGUAAAGCGCGCGUAGGUGGCUUGAUAAGCCGGUUGUGAAAGCCCCGGGCUCAACCUGGGAACGGCAUCCGGAACUGUCAAGCUAGAGUGCAGGAGAGGAAGGUAGAAUUCCCGGUGUAGCGGUGAAAUGCGUAGAGAUCGGGAGGAAUACCAGUGGCGAAGGCGGCCUUCUGGACUGACACUGACACUGAGGUGCGAAAGCGUGGGUAGCAAACAGGAUUAGAUACCCCGGUAGUC